GGGCCGGAUAAUGGCGGGCGCUGCAGAAGAUGCGCGAGCUCUUUUCCGGGCUGGGGUCUGCGCGGCCCUGGAGGCCUGGCCGGCCUUGCAGAUCGCUGUGGAAAAUGGCUUCGGGGGUGUGCACAGCCAGGAGAAGGCCAAGUGGCUGGGGUGUGCAGUGGAGGAUUACUUAAUGCUCAAUGCUGACUUGGAGCUAGGUGAGGUGGAAGACUUCCCUGGAGAGCUGUUGACCAACGAGUUUGAUACAAUUGUGGAAGACGGGAGUCUGCCCCAGGUGAGCCAGCAACUGCAGACCAUGUUCCACCACUUCCAGAGGGGCGACGGGGCUGCUCUGAGGGAGAUGGCCUCUCGCAUCACUCAAAGAAAACGCAAGGUCACAGCCACUGCACUUAAAACAGCUAGAGAGACUGAUGAGGAUGAAGAUGAUGUGGACAGUGUGGAAGACAUGGAGGUCACAGCUCCGAAUGAUGGGGCUGCCACAGAUGGUGUCUGCUCCCAGCCUGAACCCUCUGAUCCAGACGCUCAGACUAUUAAGGAAGAGGAUAUAGUGGAAGAUGGCUGGACCAUUGUCUGGAGAAAAAAAUGAGUGGGGAUGGUUGGAAAUGGCUUUGGGCCCUUAUUUGCUAGUUCUGAGAGUUGUCUGUAGGGUUGAUUGCAGACCUGUGGACUGGUUACCCCAUCUCCACCCUCUCCCUUGUUCCCGUGUCUGGCUCCCUCCAGGGCAAGGAAAACCUAGGGUCCUUGGUCUUGGGGGUGGGGGGACCUUGUCCAGCACAUUCCCUUGGGCCUUUAGUUAACAUCUGAGUGACCAAGCCGGGUUCCCCAGUACAGUGUCGUUUGGGUGCAGUCAUUGUGAGGAAGGGGAUGAGUGAGUGUGGGUGUGGCUGGAGGAGGAGCUAGAUGCCAGUGGGCAGGUGGAUUUGGGGAGGAGAGGACCAGCAGCAGCAGCAGUACUCAGUGAUAAGGGGCUGGCUGGGUCAGGAAUGGUGAGAUGAACAUGCAAGUGGAAGAGAGAAUGGUUGAAGAUGUGAACGAAAGUAGCUCUGGAGCCUUUCCCUUACCCCAGCCCCCACACAUGCAACAGCUCUGUACCCCUGUCCAGAACUUGGAACCUCCCAGGAAUGCUGCCUUCCUGCAGCCCAGCCUCCAGCCCUGGGUUCCCUCAGGAAUUCGAGGACCUUGGCUAGGUGGUGAGCUUGGAAGAGCUGGGCUUUGUUUUCUGCCUCCUGUAACCUCUUUCCUUACUCCUUAUCCCAUCCCAUUUGAGUUCAGGGGUGAGGCUUAAGAUCUUAAUAAAUAAGAUCUUACAGAUUAAAAAAAAAA
This is an RNA transcript of Mandrillus leucophaeus (drill), 1323 nucleotides long. It is a transcript of the gene named pre-rRNA-processing protein TSR2 homolog pseudogene, with no coding region annotated. The record is from RefSeq and is a predicted model, not a curated record. Lineage: Eukaryota; Metazoa; Chordata; Mammalia; Primates; Cercopithecidae. The transcript has 2 exons.